This 366-nucleotide ribosomal RNA is filed under the name uncultured bacterium. RNAcentral describes it as "bacterial SSU rRNA". It matches the Rfam family "Bacterial small subunit ribosomal RNA", at positions 28 to 391 of the family's 1533-position model. The record is from RNAcentral.
GAUGAACGCUAGCGGCAGGCUUAAUACAUGCAAGACGAACGGUAAGAUUUGUAGCAAUACGAAUCCUAGAGUGUCGUAAGGGUGCGUAACACGUAUGCAAUCUGCCCUGUACAGGAGUAUAGCUCGGGGAAACUCGAAUUAACCCUCCAUAAGAUCUUAGGGUGGCAUCACCCAGAGAUUAAAACUACGGCGGUACAGGAUGAGCAUGCGACUGAUAGCUAGUUGGCGGGGUAACGGCCCACCAAGGCAAUGAUCAGUAGGGGAACUGAGAGGUUGACUCCCCCACACUGGCACUGAGAUACGGGCCAGACUCCUACGGGAGGCAGCAGUAGGGAAUAUUGGACAAUGGGUGCAAGCCUGAUCCAG